This 234-nucleotide ribosomal RNA is filed under the name uncultured bacterium. Its description in RNAcentral is "partial 16S ribosomal RNA". It matches the Rfam family "Bacterial small subunit ribosomal RNA", at positions 524 to 750 of the family's 1533-position model. The record is from RNAcentral.
UACGUAGGGCGCAAGCGUUGUCCGGAAUUAUUGGGCGUAAAGAGCUCGUAGGCGGUUUGUCGCGUCUGCUGUGAAAGCCCGGGGCUCAACCCCGGGUCUGCAGUGGGUACGGGCAGACUAGAGUGCAGUAGGGGAGACUGGAAUUCCUGGGUGUAGCGGUGAAAUGCGCAGAGUAUCAGGAGGAACACCGAUGGCGAAGGCAGGUCUCGUGGGCUGAGUUACCUGACAGCUGAG